RNAcentral lists this transfer RNA (69 nucleotides) under Pellona ditchela (Indian pellona). RNAcentral describes it as "tRNA-His". It matches the Rfam family "tRNA". From Rfam's summary of the family: Transfer RNA (tRNA) molecules are approximately 80 nucleotides in length. Lineage: Eukaryota; Metazoa; Chordata; Actinopteri; Clupeiformes; Pristigasteridae. The record is from RNAcentral.
GCAGACAUAAUUUAAUAAAAAUGCUGGAUUGUGAUUCCAGAAACAGAGGUUCAAACCCUCUUGUCCGCC